CCAUCUUUCACAAUGGGCGAAAGCCUGAUGGAGCGACGCCGCGUGGAGGUUAAGGUCUUCGGAUUGUAAACUCCUGUCAUGCGAGAACAAAGCCCGCAAGGGUCUGAUAGUAUCGCAAGAGGAAGAGACGGCUAACUCUGUGCCAGCAGCCGCGGUAAUACAGAGGUCUCAAGCGUUGUUCGGAAUUACUGGGCGUAAAGGGUGCGCAGGCUGCGUUGAAAGUCAGAUGUGCAAUUCAGGGGCUCAACCUCUGGACUGCAUCCGAUACUACAAUGCUAGAGUCAUGGAGGGGGAUCUGGAAUUCUCGGUGUAGCAGUGAAAUGCGUAGAUAUCGAGAGGAACACCAACGGCGAAGGCAGGAUCCUGGACAUGUACUGACGCUCAUGCACGAAGGCUCGGGUAGCAAACGGGAUUAGAUACCCCGGUAGUCCAAGCAGUAAACGGUGCACGUUUGGUAUGAGGGGCAACCCCCCUUGUGCCGUAGUUAACGCGAUAAACGUGCCGCCUGGGUAGUACGAUCGCAAGAUUAAAACUCAAAGAGAUUGACGGGGACCCGCACAAGCGGUGGAGUAUGUGGCUUAAUUCGAUGCAACGCGAAGAACCUUACCUGGGCUUGACAUGAGAUUUGUCUCCGGUGAAAGCCGGAUAGUGCAGAAAUGCACGGGUCCCACAGGUGCUGCAUGGCUGUCGUCAGCUCGUGUCGUGAGAUGUUGGGUUAAGUCCCGCAACGAGCGCAACCCCUGUAAUUUGUUGCCACCGGAUUCUUCCGAGCACUCAAAUUAGACUGCCCAGAUCAACUGGGAGGAAGGUGGGGAUGACGUCAAGUCCGUAUGGCCCUUACGCCCAGGGCUGCACACGUACUACAAUGGCCAGUACAAUAUGAACCUUCUUCGCAAGGAGUGGGAAAUCGAUAAAACUGGUCUCAGUUCAGAUUGCAGGCUGCAACUCGCCUGCAUGAAGUCGGAAUCGCUAGUAAUGACGCAUCAGCUACGGCGUCGUGAAUACGUUCCCGGGUCUUGUACACACCGCCCGUCACAUCAUGGAAGCUGGCGUUGCCCAAAGCAUUUGGAAGACUUGUCUCCAUAUUCAAAGGCAAAGCUGGCAACUGGGAUGAAGUCGUAACAAGGUAGCCGUAGGGGAACCUGCGGCUG
This 1151-nucleotide ribosomal RNA is filed under the name metagenome. RNAcentral describes it as "bacterial SSU rRNA". It matches the Rfam family "Bacterial small subunit ribosomal RNA", at positions 359 to 1520 of the family's 1533-position model. The record is from RNAcentral.